Molecule: ribosomal RNA, 484 nt
Filed under: uncultured bacterium
Lineage: Bacteria
Description: partial 16S ribosomal RNA
Rfam family: Bacterial small subunit ribosomal RNA
Source: RNAcentral
AUUGAACGCUGGCGGCAGGCCUAACACAUGCAAGUCGAGCGGAUGAAGGGAGCUUGCUCCUGGAUUCAGCAGCGGACGGGUGAGUAAUGCCUAGGAAUCUGCCUGGUAGUGGGGGAUAACGUCCGGAAACGGGCGCUAAUACCGCAUACGUCCUGAGGGAGAAAGUGGGGGAUCUUCGGACCUCACGCUAUCAGAUGAGCCUAGGUCGGAUUAGCUAGUUGGUGGGGUAAAGGCCUACCAAGGCGACGAUCCGUAACUGGUCUGAGAGGAUGAUCAGUCACACUGGAACUGAGACACGGUCCAGACUCCUACGGGAGGCAGCAGUGGGGAAUAUUGGACAAUGGGCGAAAGCCUGAUCCAGCCAUGCCGCGUGUGUGAAGAAGGUCUUCGGAUUGUAAAGCACUUUAAGUUGGGAGGAAGGGCAGUAAGUUAAUUCCUUGCUGUUUUGACGUUACCAACAGAAUAAGCACCGGCUAACUUCGUG